Sander lucioperca (pikeperch) is the source of this 1375-nucleotide RNA transcript. It is a transcript of the gene named ARV1 homolog, fatty acid homeostasis modulator, with no coding region annotated. The record is from RefSeq and is a predicted model, not a curated record. The transcript is spliced from 7 exons. NCBI's taxonomy places the organism in Eukaryota, Metazoa, Chordata, Actinopteri, Perciformes, Percidae.
UGUAUGUAUGUCUUGUUUCCGCUUUGGUUGAACGUCAUGCCAGUUUUGUAGUUAGCAGUGUACAGGGAAAAAAAUGGGGAAAUAUGACUUUAGGUGCGUUGAAUGUAACGAAAAAGCACCGGAGUUACACAGAGAUUACAGUAACGGGAUCCUGAAAAUAACCAUAUGUGAGUCGUGCCAAAAGCCAGUGGACAAGUACAUUGAAUAUGACCCAGUUAUCAUCCUGAUUGAUGCCAUUUUGUGCAAGACGCAGGCGUUCAGACACAUUUUGUUCAAUACAAGCUUGAAUAUCCACUGGAAGUUGUGUGUGUUCUGCCUGCUGUGUGAGGCUUACCUCAGGUGGUCUCUGCUCCAUGGCUCCGAGCAGAGCAGUGACCCCGCUGACAUCAUCAGGUACACCAAGGAAUGGGAGUUCUACGGCAUGUUUGGAUUGGCCGCCCUCGAGCUGUCAGCGUUCUGCGGCGGCGUGCUGUGUUUCCUUUGGGUGGUGGUGGGUCGUCUGCAGGGUGGGACCCCCGAGCUCAGCCUGGUCCUCAGAGCCCUGCUGCUCUCCUGCUACGGAAAGGUCCUCCUCAUCCCUGCUGUCAUCUGGGAGCACGACUACUCGCCGCUCUGUCUGGGCCUCAUCAAGCUGUUUGUGCUGACCUCAAACUCGCAGGCUAUCAGAGUGAUCCUGAACAGCAGUAGACGUUUUUCACUGAUGGCCGUGUGUUUUGGCCUGCUGUCAGAGACCUGUGUGGCUCAGGCCUGUAGAAAGCUUCCAUGGAGCAUCCAGGACAUGUUGACAUCUGAAUGACAAAUGUCAGUUAUCUCAGGGAUAAACAAGUGAUCGUGGAUGCCGACCUGUGCCAGAAAGAGGCAGGUUUUAAUGAACCCUCUACACAUGGGAAUGGAGAAGGAGAAGGACACGUUUUGAAGUAUUUUUGCAGCAGAAGAGACAUUGUUAUUAUUUUUUCUGCACUCUUUAUAGAGAAAAAGAUCUAUCUUCAUUUUGGAGGGAUGUCAAGGAGGUGGCAUUGGCCCUCCUGUUUUUCAUUUUAGUUUUAAAGUGGACAAUAAGCUCAAGAUAUAAGUGAGAUUUUGAUUUGAAUACCUUAUUGAGACAGACAGACAUACAGAGAGGAGCUAACGCAUGGGAACAUCUCCUGAUCUAAACCACUGUUUCUCAGACCCACUCUACAAUUGACACAAACACAGACCCUGAGGUUGUAAUUUCACAACAACUACUUCUCUGUUUGGACAGGACCCAGGCAACACUCUUCACAUUCUUUGGCUCAUUGGUGAAAUGCUUACCUUAAUUCACACACGCAUACAGAAACACACGCACACACACACACACACACACACACACACACACACACACACACACACACAC